UCAAACUUGGUCAUUUAGAGGAAGUAAAAGUCGUAACAAGGUUUCCGUAGGUGAACCUGCGGAAGGAUCAUUAACGAGUUUGAAAGGAGCUGUUCUGGUCUUUCGGGGCAAGUGAACGCUUCGCUCAAUCCAUCUUACACCUGUGCACUUUUCGGGGUUGACUUUGUGGAUCUAAGUUGGAAAACGACGGUGAUCCUAUUGUCUCCUCUUUUAUACCAAACUACAGUCUUAGAAAGUCUACUUUUUGCUUGAUGCAAAAACAAAUAAUACAACUUUCAGCAACGGAUCUCUUGGCUCUCGCAUCGAUGAAGAACGCAGC
This 319-nucleotide unclassified non-coding RNA is filed under the name uncultured fungus. RNAcentral's name for it is "partial contains small subunit ribosomal RNA, internal transcribed spacer 1, and 5.8S ribosomal RNA". The stretch from base 1 to 73 matches the Rfam family "Eukaryotic small subunit ribosomal RNA", at positions 1759 to 1831 of the family's 1831-position model. The record is from RNAcentral. Lineage: Eukaryota; Fungi.